AAACUAACAAGGAUUCCCCUAGUAGCGGCGAGCGAAGCGGGAAGAGCUCAAAUUUAUAAUCUGGCACCUUCGGUGUCCGAGUUGUAAUCUCUAGAAGUGUUUUCCGCGUUGGACCGCACACAAGUCUGUUGGAAUACAGCGGCAUAGUGGUGAAACCCCCGUAUAUGGUGCGGACGCCCAGCGCUUUGUGAUACACUUUCAAUGAGUCGAGUUGUUUGGGAAUGCAGCUCAAAUUGGGUGGUAAAUUCCAUCUAAAGCUAAAUAUUGGCGAGAGACCGAUAGCGAACAAGUACCGUGAGGGAAAGAUGAAAAAGCACUUUGGAAAGAGAGUUAACAGUACGUGAAAUUGUUGGAAGGGAAACGCUUGAAGUCAGACUUGCUUGCCGGAGCUUGCUUCGGUUUGCAGGCCAGCAUCAGUUUUCCGGGGUGGAUAAUGACGGUUUGAAGGUAGCAGUCUCGGCUGUGUUAUAGCUUUCCGUUGGAUACAUCCUGGGGGACUGAGGAACGCAGCGUGCUUUUUGCGAAAGACUCGUCUUUUUCACGCUUAGGAUGCUGGUGGAAUGGCUUUAAACGAC
RNAcentral lists this ribosomal RNA (575 nucleotides) under Rhodotorula babjevae. RNAcentral's name for it is "eukaryotic LSU rRNA". It matches the Rfam family "Eukaryotic large subunit ribosomal RNA", at positions 62 to 648 of the family's 3401-position model. The record is from RNAcentral. Lineage: Eukaryota; Fungi; Basidiomycota; Microbotryomycetes; Sporidiobolales; Sporidiobolaceae.